This 336-nucleotide unclassified non-coding RNA is filed under the name soil metagenome. RNAcentral describes it as "partial contains 5.8S ribosomal RNA, internal transcribed spacer 2, and large subunit ribosomal RNA". The stretch from base 1 to 120 matches the Rfam family "5.8S ribosomal RNA", at positions 35 to 154 of the family's 154-position model. The record is from RNAcentral.
GAUGAAGAACGCAGCGAAAUGCGAUAAGUAAUGUGAAUUGCAGAAUUCAGUGAAUCAUCGAAUCUUUGAACGCACAUUGCGCCCGCCAGUAUUCUGGCGGGCAUGCCUGUUCGAGCGUCAUUUCAACCAUCAAGCCCCCGGCUUGUGUUGGGGACCUGCGGCUGCCGCAGGCCCUGAAAAGCAGUGGCGGGCUCGCUGUCACACCGAGCGUAGUAGCAUACAUCUCGCUCUGGGCGUGCUGCGGGUUCCGGCCGUUAAACCACCUUCAUAACCCAAGGUUGACCUCGGAUCAGGUAGGAAGACCCGCUGAACUUAAGCAUAUCAAUAAGCAGAGGA